CGGACUGGAGUCUGCAACCCGACUCCACGAAGCUGGAUUCGCUAGUAAUCGCGCAUCAGCCACGGCGCGGUGAAUACGUUCCCGGGCCUUGUACACACCGCCCGUCAAGCCAUGAAAGCCGGGGGUACCUGAAGUGCGUAACCGCAAGGAGCGCCCUAGGGUAAAACUGGUGAUUGGGGCUAAGUCGUAACAAGGUAGC
Molecule: ribosomal RNA, 199 nt
Filed under: uncultured bacterium
Lineage: Bacteria
Description: partial 16S ribosomal RNA
Rfam family: Bacterial small subunit ribosomal RNA
Source: RNAcentral